Molecule: ribosomal RNA, 393 nt
Filed under: uncultured bacterium
Lineage: Bacteria
Description: partial 16S ribosomal RNA
Rfam family: Bacterial small subunit ribosomal RNA
Source: RNAcentral
AUACGGAGGAUGCAAGCGUUAUCCGGAUUUAUUGGGUUUAAAGGGUGCGUAGGCGGAUGAUUAAGCGUGAGGUGAAAUGCCACUGCUCAACAGUGGAACUGCCUCGCGAACUGGUUGUCUUGAAUGCUCCUGCCGUGGGAGGAAUGUGUGGUGUAGCGGUGAAAUGCAUAGAGAUCACACAGAACACCGAUUGCGGAGGCAUCUCACGAAGGGGUGAUUGACGCUGAGGCACGAAAGCGUGGGGAUCAAACAGGAUUAGAUACCCUGGUAGUCCACGCAGUAAACGAUGAUGGCUAACCGCUGGUUUUUUCGGAUCAGUGGCCAAGCGAAAGCGAUAAGCCAUCCACCUGGGGAGUACGACCGCAAGGUUGAAACUCAAAGGAAUUGACGGGG